Molecule: ribosomal RNA, 509 nt
Filed under: uncultured bacterium
Lineage: Bacteria
Description: bacterial SSU rRNA
Rfam family: Bacterial small subunit ribosomal RNA
Source: RNAcentral
AGUUGAUUCUGGCUCAGGAUGAACGCUGGCGGCGUGCCUAAUACAUGCAAGUCGAACGAGGGUGCUUGCACCCUAGUGGCGAACGGGUGAGUAACACGUAGGUAACCUGCCCUAAGCUGGAUACCAGAGGAACUUUGGCUAAUACCGGAUAACAACAGAAGAGGCAUCUCUUCAGUUUGAAAGGCCCUUUAUGGGGUCACUUAAGGAUGGACCUGCGGCGCAUUAGCUAGUUGGUGAGAUAACAGCCCACCAAGGCGAGGAUGCGUAGCCGACCUGAGAGGGUGAUCGGCCACAUUGGAACUGAGACACGGUCCAAACUCCUACGGGAGGCAGCAGUAAGGAGUUUUCGGCAAUGGGGGAAACCCUGACCGAGCAACGCCGCGUGAGUGAAUGACGGCCCUAUGGGUUGUAAAGCUCUGUUGUAAGGGACGAAUGAUUCGCUUAGGAAAUGAAGCGGGUUUGACGGUACCUUACCAGAAAGCCACGGCUAACUACGUGCCAGCCGCAGC